Long non-coding RNA from Cyprinus carpio carpio, 1144 nucleotides. NCBI's taxonomy places the organism in Eukaryota, Metazoa, Chordata, Actinopteri, Cypriniformes, Cyprinidae. The record is from Ensembl.
GACGACGUGGACAGCAAUCAGACGGUUAGUUUCUUUUUACUGUCUAUGGUGAGUACCGAUAUUUAAUUAAGUUUUAUUUUAUAACGUUUGAACGGUGCGAAGUUUACAUAGUGAGAACUGCUAACUAUGAAUUAAUAAUUAAUUCCCACCAAAUUAAGAAUUCGUGAGCUAGUUUUAUUAAUUACUACGAGGUUACUUCGUGGCCAUGAUUUCAUAAAUCCUUGUUGAGUUUUAAUGACGAAGUAUUAUAAGUGAAUCUAGCCAGCACGUUAAUUAAACUUAUCAGAUGACAAGAGCAUGGUUGAUGUAAGGUUUGUAAGAUUUACCUGCAGCUUAAUGUAUUAGUGUGAAUACUGGCUUAAUACUCGUUGUUUUACCAUAUUUAAGUAUAAAAUAUCUUUCAUAAUUAAACUACACUGACUGCCUAGUUGUGUUAGCCUGUUGUUUUGGCAUUGUAUUGCAAUGAUGAAUGAGGCGUUUGGCAGUUUUAAUAGCUUGUUACAAUUUGGCCUAAUCUGCAGGCCUAACGUACUCCACAUACAGUCCAUUGUUAUCAUGUGUUAGUUUCUGUCAUGUUCUGCAUGGCCAAUAUGAAGUGAUUUUAUGGAUUUGGUUAGGCUCAUUGUAGGACAGAUGAUUUAAAAAGGCACUAGGGAUAUUUUCAUGAUCUCAAAAUAUUCUAACAAGUCUUCCUUUCUGGUCCAGAUUAUCAUUUCAGUGAAGUGGAAGAAUUUAAUAGAAAGAUUGACAAACAAUUGAGGAAAGAAGGGAGAUCAUUCAAUUGAGUUGAAGCCUACAGCCAUUCUAUCCAUGCAGCAACUGAUGGAAAAGGGGUUCGCUUUGGUGCUGUUGUCGCAAAAAUGAUGUAUAUAUAUAUAUAUAUAUAUAUAUAUAUAUAUAUACAUAUACAUAUACACUACCGUUCAAAAGUUUGGAAUCGGUAAGACUUGUAAUGUUUUUAAAGAAGUCUCUUCUGCUCAUCAAGGCUGCAUUUAUUUGAUCAAAAAUACAGAAAAAAACGGUAAUCUUGCAAAAUGUUAUUAUAAUAUAAAAUAAUGGUUUCUAUUUAAAUAUCCUUUAAAAUAUAAUUUAUUUCUGUGAUCAAAGCUGAAUUUCCAGCAUCAUGACUCCAGUAUAAAGUGUC